AUACAUGCAAGUCGAGCGAACGGACGAGAAGCUUGCUUCUCUGAUGUUAGCGGCGGACGGGUGAGUAACACGUGGAUAACCUACCUAUAAGACUGGGAUAACUUCGGGAAACCGGAGCUAAUACCGGAUAAUAUUUUGAACCGCAUGGUUCAAAAGUGAAAGACGGUCUUGCUGUCACUUAUAGAUGGAUCCGCGCUGCAUUAGCUAGUUGGUAAGGUAACGGCUUACCAAGGCAACGAUGCAUAGCCGACCUGAGAGGGUGAUCGGCCACACUGGAACUGAGACACGGUCCAGACUCCUACGGGAGGCAGCAGUAGGGAAUCUUCCGCAAUGGGCGAAAGCCUGACGGAGCAACGCCGCGUGAGUGAUGAAGGUCUUCGGAUCGUAAAACUCUGUUAUUAGGGAAGAACAUAUGUGUAAGUAACUGUGCACAUCUUGACGGUACCUAAUCAGAAAGCCACGGCUAACUACGUGCCAGCAGCCGCGGUAAUACGUAGGUGGCAAGCGUUAUCCGGAAUUAUUGGGCGUAAAGCGCGCGUAGGCGGUUUUUUAAGUCUGAUGUGAAAGCCCACGGCUCAACCGUGGAGGGUCAUUGGAAACUGGAAAACUUGAGUGCAGAAGAGGAAAGUGGAAUUCCAUGUGUAGCGGUGAAAUGCGCAGAGAUAUGGAGGAACACCAGUGGCGAAGGCGACUUUCUGGUCUGUAACUGACGCUGAUGUGCGAAAGCGUGGGGAUCAAACAGGAUUAGAUACCCUGGUAGUCCACGCCGUAAACGAUGAGUGCUAAGUGUUAGGGGGUUUCCGCCCCUUAGUGCUGCAGCUAACGCAUUAAGCACUCCGCCUGGGGAGUACGACCGCAAGGUUGAAACUCAAAGGAAUUGACGGGGACCCGCACAAGCGGUGGAGCAUGUGGUUUAAUUCGAAGCAACGCGAAGAACCUUACCAAAUCUUGACAUCCUUUGACAACUCUAGAGAUAGAGCCUUCCCCUUCGGGGGACAAAGUGACAGGUGGUGCAUGGUUGUCGUCAGCUCGUGUCGUGAGAUGUUGGGUUAAGUCCCGCAACGAGCGCAACCCUUAAGCUUAGUUGCCAUCAUUAAGUUGGGCACUCUAAGUUGACUGCCGGUGACAAACCGGAGGAAGGUGGGGAUGACGUCAAAUCAUCAUGCCCCUUAUGAUUUGGGCUACACACGUGCUACAAUGGACAAUACAAAGGGCAGCGAAACCGCGAGGUCAAGCAAAUCCCAUAAAGUUGUUCUCAGUUCGGAUUGUAGUCUGCAACUCGACUACAUGAAGCUGGAAUCGCUAGUAAUCGUAGAUCAGCAUGCUACGGUGAAUACGUUCCCGGGUCUUGUACACACCGCCCGUCACACCACGAGAGUUUGUAACACCCGAAGCCGGUGGAGUAACCUUUUAGGAGCUAGCCGUCGAAGGUG
This 1433-nucleotide ribosomal RNA is filed under the name Staphylococcus aureus. Its description in RNAcentral is "partial 16S ribosomal RNA". It matches the Rfam family "Bacterial small subunit ribosomal RNA". Lineage: Bacteria; Bacillati; Bacillota; Bacilli; Caryophanales; Staphylococcaceae. The record is from RNAcentral.